This 639-nucleotide ribosomal RNA is filed under the name uncultured bacterium. Its description in RNAcentral is "bacterial SSU rRNA". It matches the Rfam family "Bacterial small subunit ribosomal RNA", at positions 232 to 885 of the family's 1533-position model. The record is from RNAcentral.
CGCGGCCUAUCAGCUUGUUGGUGAGGUAACGGCUCACCAAGGCAUCGACGGGUAGCUGGUCUGAGAGGACGAUCAGCCACACUGGGACUGAGACACGGCCCAGACUCCUACGGGAGGCAGCAGUAGGGAAUCUUGCGCAAUGGGCGAAAGCCUGACGCAGCAACGCCGCGUGGGGGAAGGAGGCUCUCGGGUCGUAAACCCCUUUCAGCAGGGACGAAAUUGACGGUACCUGCAGAAGAUGGGCCGGCCAACUACGUGCCAGCAGCCGCGGUAAUACGUAGGGCCCAAGCGUUGUCCGGAUUUAUUGGGCGUAAAGAGCUCGUAGGCGGUUCAGUAAGUUGGGUGUGAAAGCUCCGGGCUCAACCCGGAGAGGCCACUCAAUACUGCUGUGACUAGAGUCCAGUAGAGGAGCGUGGAACUCCUGGUGUAGCGGUGAAAUGCGCAGAUAUCAGGAGGAACACCGGCAGCGAAGGCGGCGCUCUGGGCUGGUACUGACGCUGAGGAGCGAAAGCAUGGGUAGCAAACAGGAUUAGAUACCCUGGUAGUCCAUGCCGUAAACGUUGGGCACUAGGUGUGGGGAGGAAUCAACCCUCUCCGUGCCGUAGCUAACGCAUUAAGUGCCCCGCCUGGGGAGUACGG